This 83-nucleotide transfer RNA is filed under the name Burkholderia multivorans. RNAcentral's name for it is "tRNA-Arg". Lineage: Bacteria; Pseudomonadati; Pseudomonadota; Betaproteobacteria; Burkholderiales; Burkholderiaceae. The record is from RNAcentral.
GAUGCUGAAGGCGAUGGCGCAGGCUGCGGUCGGCUUCGUGCCGGCCUCGAUGGCCGCGCACGUUCCGGUCGUGCUCGGCAUCG